Long non-coding RNA from Helianthus annuus (common sunflower), 240 nucleotides. RefSeq lists it as uncharacterized. Lineage: Eukaryota; Viridiplantae; Streptophyta; Magnoliopsida; Asterales; Asteraceae. The record is from RefSeq and is a predicted model, not a curated record. The transcript is spliced from 3 exons.
GUAAAGAUUUGUUUUCUGCAUCUUCUUCAUCAUCGUCUGUCUUUUCAUCCAUCUAUUCCGGGUUUUUUUUCAUUAAUCCAUAUCGACAUUUGUUUACAAUAUGCCUGGGUCAUCUUCAUCUUCAUUAAGUAUCAGAGAACCCUGUUUCUGUAGGCAUAUGAAAAAAGCAGAUGAGAUAAUUCUGGUAAUUAAUAUUUCAUAUUUUCUGUUGUUAUUAUUAUAUUAAAUUUGUUACACUUU